UCUCCUGGUUUUUGUUGGUUUUGGCCUAUUUUCUUUUUCUUUGUUCAUAUUUUUAUUUUUAAUUGUACUUUUUAUUUUUAUUUAUUUUCCUUUUCUUUUUUUAUGGAUCGGAAUUGACCCCAUUUUUUUCAUUUUUUUUAUAAUAUAGUAUUAACUAUUAAAAAAACUUAAAUCUCUAAAAAUUCUCAUUUUUGAUCACUUAAAAAAUUUACCUAAACUUUUGUAAUUAUAUUUUUAGAGUUUUAUUUCAAC
RNAcentral lists this long non-coding RNA (252 nucleotides) under Lathyrus oleraceus (garden pea). RNAcentral describes it as "Pisum sativum (pea) long non-coding RNA (PSAT_LNC007376)". The record is from RNAcentral. Lineage: Eukaryota; Viridiplantae; Streptophyta; Magnoliopsida; Fabales; Fabaceae.